UCCAGUUCUCCCACUUCCGCAUAAACCCCAUGGCUUCCACCGCAGUUCCCGAAGUAGUUCGCUGGUACUGCUGGAUCCAGUCGAGCUCGCCAAUCGGCGUAGAAACCCAGGUACACUCUCUUCUUCUUCUGUUCUGUUCUCGCUGAUUUUACUGCACAAAUCGAUAUGUACGCGAAUGCGAGAACGAACGAUGAGUAUCGGGUCGGUUUCGAGGGUUUUGAUUCAUCUUCUUUUGUUGUUGCUUUCCUGAGAUUUUCGAUGUCUGUACGUGUGAAUUUGAAUGUGCCUCUUACCAUUUCUGGGGAAACACCCAAAUUUGGGAAAUAUUUCAGGCUUUUGAUUGAUGGGUCAGUGGGGUUGGUCUUUUUUAGCCAGUAGUUGAUGUAGAGCAUGUCGAUUCCUUUCGGGUCUUUGAUAAUAGACCGAUCGAAAAAUGGGGUUAGAUCAGGCGGAAGAGCAAUGGAGAAUUCGGGUUUGUUUGGUGUCUGCUUGAAAAUGUAAGCCCACGAUUUCAAAAACAUAAUCGAGCUUUUCCCAUCAACAAAAGCAUGGUGAUUGGAUAUGCCAAUGGAUAAUCCCCUGUUUUGGAACAGAGUGAUUUGCAGAGCCAUAACCGGAACAGAAUCAUCCGCUGCCGGCAAUUCCGGGACAA
This 652-nucleotide long non-coding RNA is filed under the name Cucumis sativus (cucumber). Its description in RNAcentral is "long non-coding RNA (CSAT_LNC002138)". Lineage: Eukaryota; Viridiplantae; Streptophyta; Magnoliopsida; Cucurbitales; Cucurbitaceae. The record is from RNAcentral.